Molecule: ribosomal RNA, 484 nt
Filed under: uncultured bacterium
Lineage: Bacteria
Description: partial 16S ribosomal RNA
Rfam family: Bacterial small subunit ribosomal RNA
Source: RNAcentral
AGUGAACGCUGGCGGCAGGCCUAACACAUGCAAGUCGAGCGGCAGCGCGGGGGCAACCCUGGCGGCGAGCGGCGGACGGGUGAGGAAUUCGUCGGAAUCUGCCUUUUUGUGGGGGAUAACGUAGGGAAACUUACGCUAAUACCGCAUACGUCCUACGGGAGAAAGUGGGGGACCGCAAGGCCUCACGCAGAAAGAUGAGCCGACGACCGAUUAGCUAGUUGGUGGGGUAAAGGCCCACCAAGGCGACGAUCGGUAGCUGGUCUGAGAGGAUGAUCAGCCACACUGGGAGUGAGACACGCCCCAGACUCCUACGGGAGGCAGCAGUGGGGAAUAUUGGACAAUGGGCGCAAGCCUGAUCCAGCCAUGCCGCGUGUGUGAAGAAGGCCUUCGGGUUGUAAAGCACUUUUGUCCGGAAAGAAAUCCCUGGAGCUAAUACCUUCGGGGGAUGACGGUACCGGAAGAAUAAGCACCGGCUAACUUCGUG